This 333-nucleotide long non-coding RNA is filed under the name Ixodes scapularis (black-legged tick). RNAcentral describes it as "uncharacterized LOC120837523, transcript variant X2". Lineage: Eukaryota; Metazoa; Arthropoda; Arachnida; Ixodida; Ixodidae. The record is from RNAcentral.
UCGAAGCUACCGGAGCAACGCUUCGUAAAGGACCUUUCCCGGACAAUCUACUCUACUGCUGAGCUCUGCGCUCGCAGCGUGACCGGAGAGCCGAGCCGGCGCUUUCUUAAAGAGGGCGCGAAAGGGAAGCUGCCGGUGACACCUGCAAAGAUGAUGGCCCUUGCAAGUGGCCUGAUGUACUAUGAGAGGGCAAAGAAGCCAGAGCCUGAACGUCGCCCGAUCCUGGAGCUCCAGACGGUAGUCCGCGACAUCCUAAAAGACUUCUUGCCUGAUGUUGCGAGGCAGGGCAGAAGGAGGGUCGCUCCGAAAGAAUAAAAUGGCAGUGAUUCCUUA